CCAGAAUUAAAGGACUGCUCUAUCAUGGCAAAGUGUGGCAUGGGCUGAAAGCGACAACAGAGCUCCCUGAUGUUAGGCUCCACAGGAGAAUACUGUUCCCCGCCUGCCUCAACCCGUCAAUCGAGGCAACAAGCAGGACUUAUAACUAACGUAACCUGACAUUUUAAAGUAGCCGGACAUAUCAAAGUAUGUGUGCAUAAAGUUAUUGCCUAGCCUAGCUUAAACGGUCACAAGCGAUAUAUGGUGGGGCUCUCUUACCAACCCCAUACAUACCACUACCUCCCCUACC
Pelobates cultripes (western spadefoot toad) is the source of this 289-nucleotide non-coding RNA. NCBI's taxonomy places the organism in Eukaryota, Metazoa, Chordata, Amphibia, Anura, Pelobatidae. The record is from the annotation of a GenBank genome assembly.